This is a non-coding RNA of Manis javanica (Malayan pangolin), 673 nucleotides long. NCBI's taxonomy places the organism in Eukaryota, Metazoa, Chordata, Mammalia, Pholidota, Manidae. The record is from the annotation of a RefSeq genome assembly.
GUAAGCAAACGCGGGUGGUCACACAGCCUCGUCUCUUACAGCCUCCACCAAAGCCCCCUCGGUCUUCCCACUGGCCCCCACCUGCGGGGGCACAUCCGGCUCCACCGUGUCCGUGGCCUGCCUGGUGUCCGGCUACUUCCCUGAGCCGGUGACUGUGUCGUGGAACUCGGGCGCCCUGUCCAACGAAGUGCACACCUUCCCAUCCAUCCUGCAGUCCUCGGGGCUCUACUCCACCAGCAGCAUGGUGACCGUGCCCUCCAGCAGGUGGUCCAGUGAGAGCUUCACCUGCAACGUAAACCACCCGGCCAGCAGCACCAAGGUGGACAAGACCGUUCCCAAAACACAAAAACCGGAGCUAUGCGAUUGUUCCAAAUGCCCAGUUUCUGAUAUCCUGGGAGGACCCUCUGUCUUCAUCUUCCCCCCGAAACCCAAGGACGUCCUCAUGAUCGCCCGAAAUCCCGAGGUCACCUGCAUGGUGGUGGAUGUGGGCCCAGAGGACUCCGAUGUCCAGUUCAGCUGGUUCGUGGAUGACCAGGAGGUGCACACAGCCAAGACACACCCGAGGGAGCAGCAGUUCAACAGCACCUACCGUGUGGUCAGUGCCCUUCCCAUCCUGCACCAGGACUGGCUGAAUGGCAAGGAGUUCACAUGCAAGGUCAACAACCCAGCCCUC